This 981-nucleotide long non-coding RNA is filed under the name Mytilus galloprovincialis (Mediterranean mussel). Lineage: Eukaryota; Metazoa; Mollusca; Bivalvia; Mytilida; Mytilidae. The record is from RNAcentral.
AACUAUUUAAUCACAAUCCAAAUUCAGAGCUGUAUCAAGCUUAAAUGUUGUGUCCAUACUUGCCCCAACUGUUCAGCGUUUCGACCUCUGCGGUCGUAUAAAGCUGCGCCCUGUGGAGCAUCUGGUUUAUUUGUAAAAUAAAAUCCUUCUUCCUCUGCAUGACUGUCACGAGUGAAAUAUAUGCUCAAGUGACCCUUAAGAUAGUUAUAUAGACCUAUCAUCAAGUUUGAAAUGUCACGCAAGCUUAGGUUGUCAGUUCAAAGUCUGUUACUAGUGAAAGAAAGUGGAUAUAAUUAUUUAAAGUAAAGAAUGCAGUAAUGAUGGGGGAAGCAGUAUAUAAAUAAGUCUUUUUUUACUGAGGAUAUUUAUCUUGUUUGUUUUUGAUAACAGUCUUAACUAAAAAAGGUUAUGUAAAAAAGAUCUGAACUACAUAAAAUAUGUUCUAGAAUACUGUGGGUUCAAUUUAGAUAUAUACCAUUUAUAUUGGUUACGAAAAUAAAUGACUGAUUGCUAAUUGGGCUAUAUUUUUUUUUCUGAUUAGCUAAAUUCUUUUACUUUUUCAUUUAUUACACAAAACACAAGACGACAGGAAAGGAGGUCCUCUGCUUGAGAUAGAGUGAAAUAAAAGAAUGAUUGGAUAGUGUUUUUUGUUUGUAUUUUUUACGCUGUAAUUGUACAUGUAAUUCUCAAAAUAUGUCAUAUAAAACAUAGAAAACACUCUGAAAAAUAAAAAGUUAAACCACCCUUGUGUAACGUCAUUGACCUCAACAAUAAUAAUGCUAACAAUGAACCCAUAGUAAGAUUCUAGUCCAAAUUCACAUAUAGUUUUGCUUGGAAUGCAUGAGAAUAAAAAUUUUGGUGUUUAAAAGACUUGAGAUUUUUAACAUGAAUUAUAUAUUUUUGUUUAUCCGCCUGACAAAGGAAUAUUGGUGCACACAAUGUCUUAUUUAUUCUGAUAAUUAAUAAAUACAUUUAAAAGAC